AAAAUAUCAUCUUGUACUAGAUUCUUUCUCAUUAGCUUUGUAGUUCGAUCAUACCUGCGAUCGGAGAUUGCUCGGGAAUUGGAAAUUAAGAAAAAUUUUCUCUGGUUCAUCGUUCUGUUUAAUCUAUUCCGCUCUUUCUUAUUUACCGUUGUUUGUUAUUUGUAACUGUCUGGAAUCAAAUAAAUUGCCAGUGGCCUGAAAAAUACAAAUUUAAUUAUUUAUUUUCAAAACUAGUUUUUGGGUCAAGCAUCCCUGCCACUCUACGUCACUGCACUCUAAACGGAGGUACUCAUAGGAUAAUUUUGAGCAGUCCUUAAACUUAAGGGAGGUUUGUUCAUUUGAGUGGAACUUCAGGGGUCCUUACAGAUAUUAAUUUUAAUUCACCAACAAGGUGCAACUCCACUUGUAAUUAAUUCUAAGUGGCGCCGAGCCAAAUUUAUAGAUGAAGCCGAAUAGCUGAGCCGCAACAAUUUAUAUAUUUGAGCUUACAUCAAAACCCUAUUUCUCUCUCACUCUCUACAACUCAAGGAGCCAUCAGAACGAAGCAUUGAAUUUUGUAGGAAACUAUGGCUUCAAAACUACCUAUAGUGAAAGCAAAGGCUGUUGAAGCUUCAAAGUUCUUGACCAAGCAUGGAUGUGCAUACUACAAGCAGACAUUGCAA
Molecule: non-coding RNA, 662 nt
Organism: Nicotiana tabacum (common tobacco)
Lineage: Eukaryota; Viridiplantae; Streptophyta; Magnoliopsida; Solanales; Solanaceae
Source: RefSeq, a predicted model, not a curated record